RNAcentral lists this unclassified non-coding RNA (240 nucleotides) under soil metagenome. RNAcentral's name for it is "partial contains 5.8S ribosomal RNA, internal transcribed spacer 2, and large subunit ribosomal RNA". The record is from RNAcentral.
AACCAUAGAAACCUGCGGAGUACCUGCGGAAGGAUCAUUGACGAAUGUGCAGGCGCGCACCUUGUGUGCAUAUACGCCCCGCUAUCUACGUGCCAAUUGUUGUAUGGGGUGCUACUGUCGCCGGUGGAACUGCUGCCGGCCGGCCGGCCACUACUAGUAGUAGCUAGCUGUGUGUGUGUGGUUUGAAGGCGGCAGCCAGCAGUGGAACAUAGUAUGGAACGAUUGACUGAGUGUAGUGAG